This 310-nucleotide long non-coding RNA is filed under the name Vigna radiata. RNAcentral's name for it is "long non-coding RNA (VRAD_LNC008727)". The record is from RNAcentral. Lineage: Eukaryota; Viridiplantae; Streptophyta; Magnoliopsida; Fabales; Fabaceae.
GUUUUUCUGGAUCACAAAAUCCUUGAGUUAAAAGAGUUAUUCACAUUUAUAGUUUAAACACAAACUCUCCUUAAACAACCAAUCUCACUCAUUCACAACUUUCCCUUUUCUUUGCAUUGAGCUUUUCUUCUCAUUUUAUCUUUUUUCUCUUUUUUUUUUUCUUUUUUAUCUUUUUCAUCUUUUCAUGUUUUGCUCAACACAUUAGCUCAAUGCUUAUCUUUUUCUUUUUCAACUUUCCCAACAGCCCCAAACUUGAACCUAUAUCAAUACAACACAAUAAUUCUCAACUUAACUCAAGGUAAAGAUUUGU